RNAcentral lists this ribosomal RNA (207 nucleotides) under uncultured bacterium. Its description in RNAcentral is "partial 16S ribosomal RNA". It matches the Rfam family "Bacterial small subunit ribosomal RNA", at positions 568 to 774 of the family's 1533-position model. The record is from RNAcentral.
CUCGUAGGCGGUUCGUCGCGUCCGGUGUGAAAGUCCAUCGCUUAACGGUGGAUCUGCGCCGGGUACGGGCGGGCUGGAGUGCGGUAGGGGAGACUGGAAUUCCCGGUGUAACGGUGGAAUGUGUAGAUAUCGGGAAGAACACCAAUGCCGAAGGCAGGUCUCUGGGCCGUUACUAACGCUGAGGAGCGAAAGCGUGGGGAGCGAACA